RNAcentral lists this ribosomal RNA (497 nucleotides) under uncultured bacterium. RNAcentral's name for it is "partial 16S ribosomal RNA". It matches the Rfam family "Bacterial small subunit ribosomal RNA", at positions 28 to 507 of the family's 1533-position model. The record is from RNAcentral.
GAUGAACGCUGGCGGCGUGCCUAAUACAUGCAAGUCGAGCGAACGGACGAGAAGCUUGCUUCUCUGAUGUUAGCGGCGGACGGGUGAGUAACACGUGGAUAACCUACCUAUAAGACUGGGAUAACUUCGGGAAACCGGAGCUAAUACCGGAUGAUAUUUUGAACCGCAUGGUUCAAAAGUGAAAGACGGUCUUGCUGUCACUUAUAGAUGGAUCCGCGCUGCACUAGCUAGUUGGUAAGGUAACGGCUUACCAAGGCAACGAUGCAUAGCCGACCUGAGAGGGUGAUCGGCCACACUGGAACUGAGACACAGUCCAGACUCCUACGGGAGGCAGCAGUAGGGAAUCUUCCGCAAUGGGCGAAAGCCUGACGGAGCAACGCCGCGUGAGUGAUGAAGGUCUUCGGAUCGUAAAACUCUGUUAUUAGGGAAGAACAUAUGUGUAAGUAACUGUGCACAUCUUGACGGUACCUAAUCAGAAAGCCACGGCUAACUACGUG